RNAcentral lists this ribosomal RNA (341 nucleotides) under uncultured microorganism. RNAcentral describes it as "bacterial SSU rRNA". It matches the Rfam family "Bacterial small subunit ribosomal RNA", at positions 9 to 372 of the family's 1533-position model. The record is from RNAcentral.
GAGUUUGAUCGUGGCUCAGAAUGAACGCUGGCGGCAUGCCUAACACAUGCAAGUCGAACGAAGGCUUCGGCCUUAGUGGCGCACGGGUGCGUAACGCGUGGGAAUCUGCCCUUGGGUUCGGGAAUAACAGUUAGAAAUGACUGCUAAUACCGGAUGAUGUCGUAAGACCAAAGAUUUAUUCGCCCAAGGAUGAGCCCGCGUAGGAUUAGCUAGUUGGUGGGGUAAAGGCCCGACCAACGGCGACGAUCCUUAGCUGGUCUGAGAGGAUGAUCAGCCACACUGGGACUGAGACACGGCCCAGACUCCUACGGGAGGCGAGCAGUGGGGAAGUAUUGGACAAU